This 769-nucleotide long non-coding RNA is filed under the name Rattus norvegicus (Norway rat). RNAcentral describes it as "long non-coding RNA NONRATT025857". Lineage: Eukaryota; Metazoa; Chordata; Mammalia; Rodentia; Muridae. The record is from RNAcentral.
CAGAACAGCCCCAAGACAGAAAAGGGCCUUGUUCUUCCAAGAGCCCAAACUGGGGCACAGUCUUGGAGUGGAGGCCGGAAAAGAAGGGUGAAAUUAGGAAUCCUAGCUCCACAGAGGGCCUGUCUCAGGCCCAAAGGGGCGGGGAGCAGAGAACAUCUGGAAGUCGAGGCCUUAGGCCCGUGCCAAGCUGUCUGAGUAACAGGAUGCUUAUGUGCGGGGCUGGAGGUGGGGGACUGUUAGGAGAGAGGACAAUGCUGAGGACUUGGGCACCAGUGCCUCAGUUAACAAAUCCCCUCAGUUCUGAACUCUUCAGGAUGCACAGUUGGGCCUUGAGCUUCCUAAUUAGGCGAGAGGCAGACCUGGCCGGAGAUGCCUGGGGGAGGGGCCGCAGUCCACGCGGUCACACAAAGAAAGCCAGGUGCUGUUGAUGCGAGUGAAAGUCUCCUACACAGCCCGGUAGCCUACACGCAGCAAAGCCCCUGCUCCUUUAGCGGGGGGCCUCUUGUGGAAUUCAGGUCUUGGCUAGAACUCUCUGCUUUAGGCCCCCAGAAGGUCUGAGAGAGGCUCCGGAAACCUGGCGGCUUCUCUUCAGGUUUGGCAAACUCAAGAUUUUUUUUUUUUUUCCAGCGCCUUGUGUUCAGCAAAACUGAAAAUGUGUUUGGCUUGAAAGAAACCCUGCUCUAAUUUUUAAACUCCCGGUGCAUUUUUUCUUUUUCUUUCUUUCUUUUCUUUUUUUUUUUUUUACAUAAAUUUGAUCCACAUGGCUUUG